RNAcentral lists this ribosomal RNA (921 nucleotides) under Triticum aestivum (bread wheat). RNAcentral's name for it is "partial small subunit ribosomal RNA". Lineage: Eukaryota; Viridiplantae; Streptophyta; Magnoliopsida; Poales; Poaceae. The record is from RNAcentral.
AUGUGUAGUUUGCACGAUCCAAAAGCCAGCAUGCUACACACGCGUCUCCCACCUCCAGUCGUCGCCCUCCCAUUUCCACGCGCCGCCGCCGUCCUCCCGCUUCCACGCGCCACCGCCGGUCCCCCGAACCACGCGCCGCCGCGGCUGGGCGCCUUAUCCGGAUCCUCCACCUCCCACCGUGGCUCCUCGCCGCCACCACGGGAUCCCGGCAGCUCCCCCAAGCGCGCCGUGUGCGGUCGCCGGCACCCCACCGCGCGACGCCGGCGACAUCCCGCACCUCGCGCGCCGCCGCGAACUUACUCACGUGCUACCGCGAACCGUCGCCUCACUCCUGCGCCAACCCACACGUCUCACCGUGAGACACCGGCGGCCACCCCCAUGCCCCAAAGCGCGCCGCCACGAACUUCCCCCCGCGCCGCCUCGAACUGCUCCGUGCGCCGUCGCGAACCUCUGCCUCACUCCUGCGACAGGUCGCCCGACCCAACCGGGCGCCGCAGUCAACUAGCCGUUAGCCUUUCCUCCCGAUUGCCUUUCUCUCAGAUGGCAAGCACAUGCCUCCUCUACAUCUCUUCUUCCAUCGAGCGACUACCAUAUAGCGUUUACUUGGGGUCCAAAAGUAGCGCCCCGUUGCCUCUAACCUCCAGCCUUGACGAACUGCACAGACCGGGGACGCACGAGCGACCUCCUGCGAGAUUGGCCCCCGGUAGGCGACGAGCACAGCGAAGGAGCCCAGCGAGGGUGCCUCACCUCUGCUCAUGCGUAGCUCUGGUAGUGUGCCGGAGAGCGCCUUCUGGACGCAGGUUGGAUGACGGUCCAGAUGCUGUACGCUGUUGCGAUCUCCUCCAUCGUGAAGGUCACACCACGUGCACCGUCCUCAGUCCAACCCCAUGGCAUCAGGAUGAUCGAGCUCGUCGCAAGUAG